Molecule: non-coding RNA, 1251 nt
Organism: Oryza sativa Japonica Group (Japanese rice)
Lineage: Eukaryota; Viridiplantae; Streptophyta; Magnoliopsida; Poales; Poaceae
Source: RefSeq, a predicted model, not a curated record
UUUAUUACUUGUCGUUUUGUGUACCCUGGAUGAUUCCUAGACAGGGAUUUAAUACACAAAAUAGUCUGGAAAUUUGGGCUAAAUUUCUGGACGUGACAUACUACUACAUAAAUGAAUUUUUGGAUGAGACCCUCUUUAGGUUGCAAACGUAAUUUUAACUAGCCGCAUCUGCAAAAAUCGUCCUCCAUUUUCGCAUACGACUCCUUAAGGGGACCACACACAAAAAUCGAUGUUCACAGACGAGCCUCUUAAGGCUCCGCACGUAAAAAUAAGCAUAUUUUUUGCAGGCGGACCUCUUAAGGGGCUGCAAACAAAAAUAUAUUUUCGUAGGCAGACCUCUUGAUGCUCCGCCUAAACUUUGAGUUAACUCCUCAUUCCCUCUUAAUAUUUCAAAGUUUUUCAUCCUUAUCCACUCAUAUUUCUCUCACCUUCUCUCUCUCACCUCCUGAUGUGCCCUAACCCCCAUCACAUGAUGAUGAGCACAUCCCAGCUACACUUGACAUAAACAAGGAUGAUGGUUUACGUCAUAAGUCACAUGAGGAAAAUGAAAAUGACGUAAAUUAUGUUGAUGGAUUACGUCUCAACAAGAACGAUCAAGCAUAUCAUGGUCCAAUUACGCGCAGCCGUGCUAGGAAAAUACAACAAGAGGUGAACUCGCUCUUUGCUCAACUUAAUCCAAAUUUUUGUGAGAAUUUUAUACUACCUAAAUGCUCUACAUUUUUAUUGCUCAGGUUUACACCCGAGGAGAUCAUCACUACACCAAGAAGGAUGGGUUACAUUGAGGAUGAUAAGGGUUACGUUGAGGACGAUAAAGGUUACGACGAGGAAGAACCAGCCCAUCCCAAACCAGUAGCUGUCUACGCCAACAAGAAGAUGGUUUACUCUGCAAAAGACUCAACUUCCAAGGCUUGUGUGACCCAACCAGUCAACUUUCUCCAUGCUUAAUAUAUAUGGUUGGAAAGAUAAUCAGGUCUAGUUUCACCUCCAACAAACGGCUCGUCAUUUCGACUUCCCACUAAGGAGUUAUGGACAAAUCAUUGAAGACUGCUCAGAAGCCAAACAGACGCGCGAGUCUUCUCGGGAAUUCACUUAUUAUGACCUUUGAACUAGCCUAUGUCCAGUAAACUCCCAAGACUUUUCAUUCUCAUCUAGGAGGGUUGUUCCUAGUAUAAAUAUCACCUAUGUUUUAUCAUUUAGAAGACUUGGACAAUGAAAAUAUGAACCCCUCUUGUUCAGCUGUGUGCUAACAAA